AUACGGAGGAUGCGAGCGUUAUCCGGAUUUAUUGGGUUUAAAGGGAGCGUAGGUGGGAUAUUAAGUCAGCUGUGAAAGUUUGGGGCUCAACCUUAAAAUUGCAGUUGAUACUGGUUUCCUUGAGUACGGUACAGGUGGGCGGAAUUCGUGGUGUAGCGGUGAAAUGCUUAGAUAUCACGAAGAACUCCGAUCGCGAAGGUAGCUCACCGGGCCGGAACUGACACUGAUGCUCGAAAGUGCGGGUAUCAAACAGGAUUAGAUACCCUGGUAGUCCGCACAGUAAACGAUGAAUACUCGCUGUUUGCGAUACACGGUAAGCGGCCAAGCGAAAGCGUUAAGUAUUCCACCUGGGGAGUACGCCGGCAACGGUGAAACUCAAAGGAAUUGACGGGG
Molecule: ribosomal RNA, 393 nt
Filed under: uncultured bacterium
Lineage: Bacteria
Description: partial 16S ribosomal RNA
Rfam family: Bacterial small subunit ribosomal RNA
Source: RNAcentral